This 497-nucleotide ribosomal RNA is filed under the name uncultured bacterium. RNAcentral's name for it is "partial 16S ribosomal RNA". It matches the Rfam family "Bacterial small subunit ribosomal RNA", at positions 28 to 507 of the family's 1533-position model. The record is from RNAcentral.
GAUGAACGCUGGCGGCGUGCCUAAUACAUGCAAGUCGAGCGAACAGACGAGGAGCUUGCUCCUCUGACGUUAGCGGCGCACGGGUGAGUAACACGUGGAUAACCUCCCUAUAAGACUGGGAUAACUUCGGGAAACCGGAGCUAAUACCGGAUAAUAUAUUGAACCGCAUGGUUCAAUAGUGAAAGACGGUUUUGCUGUCACUUAUAGAUCGAUCCGCGCCGCAUUAGCUAGUUGGUAAGGUAACGGCUUACCAAGUCAACGAUGCGUAGCCGACCUGAGAGGGUGAUAGGCCACACUGGAACUGAGACACGGUCCUGACUCCUACGGGAGGGAGCAGUAGUGAAUCUUCCGCAAUGGGCGAAAGCCUGACGGAGCAACGCCGCGUGAGAGAUGAAAGUCUUCGGAUCGUGACGCUCUGUUAUUGGGGAAGAACAAAUGUGUAAGUAGCUGUGCACGUCUUGACGGUACCGGAUCAGAAAGCCACGGCUAACUACGUG